CCGGCGCACGGGUGAGUAACACGUAUGCAACCUGGCCGUCACAGGUGGAUAACCGGAAGAAAUUCCGACUAAUACAGCAUAACACUCCUGAGGGACAUCCUUCGGGAGUCAAAGGAGGCAACUCCGGUGACGGAUGGGCAUGCGGCGCAUUAGGUAGUUGGUAGGGUAACGGCCUACCAAGCCGACGAUGCGUAGGGGUUCUGAGAGGAAGGUCCCCCACAUUGGAACUGAGACACGGCCCAGACUCCUACGGGAGGCAGCAG
RNAcentral lists this ribosomal RNA (263 nucleotides) under uncultured bacterium. Its description in RNAcentral is "partial 16S ribosomal RNA". It matches the Rfam family "Bacterial small subunit ribosomal RNA", at positions 95 to 354 of the family's 1533-position model. The record is from RNAcentral.